Molecule: ribosomal RNA, 444 nt
Filed under: uncultured bacterium
Lineage: Bacteria
Description: bacterial SSU rRNA
Rfam family: Bacterial small subunit ribosomal RNA
Source: RNAcentral
GCCAGACUCCUACGGGAGGCAGCAGUGGGGAAUAUUGCACAAUGGGGGAAACCCUGAUGCAGCGACGCCGCGUGAGUGAAGAAGUAUUUCGGUAUGUAAAGCUCUAUCAGCAGGGAAGAAAAUGACGGUACCUGACUAAGAAGCCCCGGCUAACUACGUGCCAGCAGCCGCGGUAAUACGUAGGGAGCGAGCGUUGUCCGGAAUUACUGGGUGUAAAGGGAGCGUAGGCGGGACUGCAAGUUGGGUGUCAAAUCUACCGGCUCAACCGGUAGCCGCACUCAAAACUGCAGUUCUUGAGUGAAGUAGAGGCAGGCGGAAUUCCUAGUGUAGCGGUGAAAUGCGUAGAUAUACGGAGGAACACCAGUGGCGAAGGCGGAUUGCUGGACAGUAACCGACGCUGAGGCGCGAAAGCGUGGGGAGCAAACAGGAUUAGAUACCCGAGUA